This 438-nucleotide ribosomal RNA is filed under the name uncultured bacterium. RNAcentral describes it as "partial 16S ribosomal RNA". It matches the Rfam family "Bacterial small subunit ribosomal RNA", at positions 339 to 795 of the family's 1533-position model. The record is from RNAcentral.
CUACGGGGGGCACCAGUGAGGAAUAUUGCACAAUGGGGGGAACCCUGAUGCAGCAACGCCGCGUGGAGGAUGACGCAUUUCGGUGUGUAAACUCCUUUUAUAUGUCAAGAAAAUGACGGUAGCAUAUGAAUAAGCGCCGGCUAACUCCGUGCCAGCAGCCGCGGUAAUACGGAGGGUGCAAGCGUUACUCGGAAUCACUGGGCGUAAAGGACGCGUAGGCGGGUUGGAAAGUCAGGUGUGAAAUCCUACAGCUUAACUGUAGAACUGCACUUGAAACUUCUAAUCUAGAGUAUGGGAGGGGAGAUGGAAUUAGUGGUGUAGGGGUAAAAUCCGUAGAUAUCACUAGGAAUACCUAAAGCGAAGGCGAUCUCCUGGAACAUUACUGACGCUAAGGCGUGAAAGCGUGGGGAGCAAACAGGAUUAGAUACCCCGGUAGUC